RNAcentral lists this non-coding RNA (32 nucleotides) under Mus musculus (house mouse). The record is from RNAcentral. Lineage: Eukaryota; Metazoa; Chordata; Mammalia; Rodentia; Muridae.
UCGAUGUGUCCUGUAGGGAACUUCCCUUCUCU